This 254-nucleotide ribosomal RNA is filed under the name uncultured bacterium. RNAcentral's name for it is "partial 16S ribosomal RNA". It matches the Rfam family "Bacterial small subunit ribosomal RNA", at positions 524 to 776 of the family's 1533-position model. The record is from RNAcentral.
UACGUAGGCACCAAGCGUUGUCCGGAUUUAUUGGGCGUAAAGAGCUCGUAGGCGGUUCAGUAAGUCAGGUGUGAAAACUUUGGGCUUAACCCAAAGCGUGCAUUUGAUACUGCUGUGACUUGAGUUCGGUAGGGGAGUGGGGAAUUCCUAGUGUAGCGGUGAAAUGCGCAGAUAUUAGGAGGAACACCGGUGGCGAAGGCGCCACUCUGGGCCGAAACUGACGCUGAGGAGCGAAAGCGUGGGUAGCAAACAGG